This 520-nucleotide ribosomal RNA is filed under the name Tomoplagia incompleta. RNAcentral describes it as "partial 16S ribosomal RNA". The stretch from base 265 to 423 matches the Rfam family "Bacterial large subunit ribosomal RNA", at positions 2473 to 2632 of the family's 2925-position model. The record is from RNAcentral. Lineage: Eukaryota; Metazoa; Arthropoda; Insecta; Diptera; Tephritidae.
GCACGAAGUAUAAACUAUUUCAUGUAAAUUUAUAAUAAAAUUUUAUAUUUUAGUAAAAAAGCUAAAAUUUUAUUAAAAGACGAGAAGACCCUAUAAAUCUUUAUAUUUUAUUUAAAUUAAAUUUUUUAAAUUUAUUUUAUUUAAUUUGAUAUAAAAUAUUUUAUUGGGGUGAUAUUAAAAUUUAUUAAACUUUUAAUUUUAUUAAACAUUUAUUUAUGGUUUAUUGAUCUAUUAAUAAUGAUUAUAAGAAUAAGUUACUUUAGGGAUAACAGCGUAAUUUUUUUGGAGAGUUCUUAUUAAUAAAAAAGUUUGCGACCUCGAUGUUGGAUUAAGAAUAAAUUUAGGUGAAGAUGCUUAAAAAUUAAGUCUGUUCGACUUUUAAAUUCUUACAUGAUCUGAGUUCAGACCGGCGUAAGCCAGGUUGGUUUCUAUCUUUAAAUUUGAUAAAUAUUUUAGUACGAAAGGACCAAAUAUUAAAUUUAUAAUAAUUUAUGAUUUUGAAAUUUAUUAAAUAUAAAUA